UCUAUUUUUUUUAACUUUUUAAUUUUUUAAAUUGAUACAUCAAUUGUUUAUAUCCAUCAAACAAAACUGAUAGACACAUAUCAAAAAGCUACACAUUUUUUUUAUUUAUUUUUUUUUCAUUUUUUAAUAUGUAGGAUAUUUACAAAUAGAAAAUGUUUAACACCCCAAAUUUUUUUUCAUAAUCGAACUUAUAAUGAUGUAGCUAAUGUGAAUAAUAGGAUGUAAAUGAAAGCAAAACAUCGAUGUGGAUCAAAAUAAUCCCAGUCAGGGUACACAGCUCGGUGCGUUCUACUAAUUUAUUUUAUUGGAUUAGUAGGCUUUGUUAUUUAAAUCAUUGAAUUAACAUUGACAAACAAAUGAAGCAGAUAAUUGCAAAUGGAAAAGCGCCCGAUUUAGCAGAAUUUUACAAGUCCAUCCACUACAAUUCGGACACGCAUGAAUGGAUUUCAUCGGAGAGCCAAGUUAAUUAUGACAACCUGAUAUAGACGCAAGCAGAACACCUCUCGCAGACUAGUGCGAUCCCCUUGACCCCAGAGGAGUUGUCAGUGAAGGUGCUUCAGCCAAGGCCAGGUUAUGUAAAAGGACUCGGUUUGAAAAGUCAGAGAAGAAACAAAGCAAGAAGAUACAAAGUAUCAUCGAGUGUUUGAGGCAGAAAGGUGUCACGGGAAAUUUUGAGAGUGGGGAAAGUUCAGAUUCUGAUUGACAAGCUAUUUGAUUCGAGAUUUGAUAUGGAUGUGUUUGGUAAUUUGGAGGGCCGAUGGUAGCUC
Camellia sinensis is the source of this 767-nucleotide non-coding RNA. Lineage: Eukaryota; Viridiplantae; Streptophyta; Magnoliopsida; Ericales; Theaceae. The record is from RefSeq and is a predicted model, not a curated record.